Molecule: ribosomal RNA, 2901 nt
Filed under: Acinetobacter baumannii Naval-81
Lineage: Bacteria; Pseudomonadati; Pseudomonadota; Gammaproteobacteria; Moraxellales; Moraxellaceae
Description: bacterial LSU rRNA
Rfam family: Bacterial large subunit ribosomal RNA
Source: RNAcentral
AGUCAAGUAAUUAAGUGCAUGUGGUGGAUGCCUUGGCAGUCAGAGGCGAUGAAAGACGUGAUAGCCUGCGAAAAGCUCCGGGGAGGCGGCAAAUAUCCUUUGAUCCGGAGAUGUCUGAAUGGGGGAACCCACCUACUUUAAGGUAGGUAUUGCAACAUGAAUACAUAGUGUUGCAAGGCGAACGAGGGGAAGUGAAACAUCUCAGUACCCUUAGGAAAAGAAAUCAAUUGAGAUUCCCUCAGUAGCGGCGAGCGAACGGGGAUCAGCCCAUUAAGUUAUGUGUGUUUUAGUGGAACGCUCUGGGAAGUGCGAACGUAGAGGGUGAUAUUCCCGUACACGAAAGGGCACACAUAAUGAUGACGAGUAGGGCGAGGCACGUGAAACCUUGUCUGAAUAUGGGGGGACCAUCCUCCAAGGCUAAAUACUCCUGACUGACCGAUAGUGAACCAGUACCGUGAGGGAAAGGCGAAAAGAACCCCUGUGAGGGGAGUGAAAUAGAUCCUGAAACCGCAUGCAUACAAGCAGUGGGAGCACCUUCGUGGUGUGACUGCGUACCUUUUGUAUAAUGGGUCAGCGACUUAUAUUCAGUAGCGAGGUUAACCGUAUAGGGGAGCCGUAGAGAAAUCGAGUCUUAAUAGGGCGUUUAGUUGCUGGGUAUAGACCCGAAACCAGGCGAUCUAUCCAUGAGCAGGUUGAAGGUUGGGUAACACUAACUGGAGGACCGAACCCACUGUCGUUGAAAAGCCAGGGGAUGACUUGUGGAUAGGGGUGAAAGGCUAAUCAAGCCUGGUGAUAGCUGGUUCUCCCCGAAAGCUAUUUAGGUAGCGCCUCGGACGAAUACCAUAGGGGGUAGAGCACUGUUUCGGCUAGGGGGUCAUCCCGACUUACCAAACCGAUGCAAACUCCGAAUACCUAUGAGUACUAUCCGGGAGACAGACCGCGGGUGCUAACGUCCGUAGUCAAGAGGAAAACAAUCCAGACCGCCAGCUAAGGCCCCAAAAUCAUAGUUAAGUGGGAAACGAUGUGGGAAGGCAUAGACAGCUAGGAGGUUGGCUUAGAAGCAGCCACCUUUAAAGAAAGCGUAAUAGCUCACUAGUCGAGUCGGCCUGCGCGGAAGAUGUAACGGGGCUAAAACUAUGUGCCGAAGCUGCGGAUGUAUACUUUGUAUACGUGGUAGGGGAGCGUUCUGUAAGCCGAUGAAGGUGUGUUGAGAAGCAUGCUGGAGGUAUCAGAAGUGCGAAUGCUGACGUGAGUAACGACAAAACGGGUGAAAAACCCGUUCGCCGAAAGACCAAGGGUUCCAGUCCAACGUUAAUCGGGGCUGGGUGAGUCGACCCCUAAGGCGAGGCCGAAAGGCGUAGUCGAUGGGAAAAUGGUUAAUAUUCCAUUACUUCUGUGUAAUGCGAUGAGAGGACGGAGAAGGCUAAAUCAGCCUGGCGUUGGUUGUCCAGGUGAAAGGAUGUAGGCAUGUAUCUUAGGCAAAUCCGGGGUACUCUAUGCUGAGAUCUGAUAGCAAGCUGUACUUGUACAGCGAAGUGGUUGAUGCCAUGCUUCCAGGAAAAGUCUCUAAGCUUCAGUUACACAGGAAUCGUACCCGAAACCGACACAGGUGGUCAGGUCGAGUAGACCAAGGCGCUUGAGAGAACUCUGCUGAAGGAACUAGGCAAAAUGGUACCGUAACUUCGGGAGAAGGUACGCUGUUGUUGGUGAUGGAACUCGCUUCCUGAGCUGACGACAGCCGCAGAAACCAGGCCGCUGCAACUGUUUAUUAAAAACAUAGCACUCUGCAAACACGAAAGUGGACGUAUAGGGUGUGAUGCCUGCCCGGUGCUGGAAGGUUAAUUGAUGGGGUUAGCGUAAGCGAAGCUCUUGAUCGAAGCCCCAGUAAACGGCGGCCGUAACUAUAACGGUCCUAAGGUAGCGAAAUUCCUUGUCGGGUAAGUUCCGACCUGCACGAAUGGCAUAAUGAUGGCGGCGCUGUCUCCAGCAGAGGCUCAGUGAAAUCGAAAUCGCUGUGAAGAUGCAGUGUACCCGCGGCUAGACGGAAAGACCCCGUGAACCUUUACUGCAGCUUGACACUGAACUUUGACCUUACUUGUGUAGGAUAGGUGGGAGGCUUUGAAGCUGGAACGCUAGUUCCAGUGGAGCCGUCCUUGAAAUACCACCCUGGUAAUGUUGAGGUUCUAACUCUGUCCCGUGAUCCGGGACGAGGACCGUGUCUGGUGGGUAGUUUGACUGGGGCGGUCUCCUCCUAAAGAGUAACGGAGGAGUACGAAGGUGCGCUCAGCGUGGUCGGAAAUCACGCGUAGAGUAUAAAGGCAAAAGCGCGCUUAACUGCGAGACCCACAAGUCGAGCAGGUACGAAAGUAGGUCUUAGUGAUCCGGUGGUUCUGUAUGGAAGGGCCAUCGCUCAACGGAUAAAAGGUACUCUGGGGAUAACAGGCUGAUACCGCCCAAGAGUUCAUAUCGACGGCGGUGUUUGGCACCUCGAUGUCGGCUCAUCUCAUCCUGGGGCUGAAGCAGGUCCCAAGGGUAUGGCUGUUCGCCAUUUAAAGAGGUACGCGAGCUGGGUUUAGAACGUCGUGAGACAGUUCGGUCCCUAUCUACCGUGGGCGCUGGAAAUUUGAGAGGAUCUGCUCCUAGUACGAGAGGACCAGAGUGGACGAACCUCUGGUGUACCGGUUGUGACGCCAGUCGCAUCGCCGGGUAGCUAUGUUCGGAAGGGAUAACCGCUGAAAGCAUCUAAGCGGGAAGCCUACCUCAAGAUAAGAUUUCCCUAGGACUUUAUGUCCUCUAAAGAGCCGUUCGAGACUAGGACGUUGAUAGGUUGGAUGUGGAAGCAUAGUGAUAUGUGAAGCUGACCAAUACUAAUUGCUCGUGAGGCUUGACUAUACAACACCC